GCGCGCAAAUCACCCAAUCCCGAUACGGGGAGGUAGUGACAAUAAAUACUGAUACGGGGCUCUUUCGGGUCUCGUAAUUGGAAUGAGAACAAUUUAAACCCCUUAACGAGGAACAAUUGGAGGGCAAGUCUGGUGCCAG
RNAcentral lists this ribosomal RNA (139 nucleotides) under uncultured eukaryote. RNAcentral's name for it is "partial 18S ribosomal RNA". It matches the Rfam family "Eukaryotic small subunit ribosomal RNA", at positions 432 to 570 of the family's 1831-position model. The record is from RNAcentral.